UGAUCUGCCGGACCUUACUGCUAUCGGGAUGAGACUAAGCCAUGCAUGUCGAGCGCUCUCAGCUAUGUAGAGAGCGCGGCGAACGGCUCAAUAACACGUAGUUAACCUACCCUCGGGAUGGGAAUAACCCCGGGAAACUGGGAUUAAUGCCCACUAGAUGAUUAUACCUGGAAUGGCUUAUCAUCGAAAGAGUCUGGAAACAUGCUUCCAGCGUCGCCCGAGGAUGGGACCGCGUCCGAUCAGGUAGUUGGUGGGGUAAUGGCCUACCAAGCCUAUAACCGGUACGGGCCCUGAGAGGGGGAGCCCGGAGAUGGAAACUGAGAAAAGGUUCCAGGCCCUACGGGGUGCAGCAGGCGCGAAACCUCCACAAUGCGCGAAAGCGUGAUGGGGUUAUCCCGAGUGCCGUCCGAUGAGGAUGGCUUUUAAUCGAUGUAAGGAUUCGAUAGAAUAAAGGGGGGGCAAGACUGGUGUCAGCCGCCGCGGUAAUACCAGCCCCCUGAGUGGUAAGGACGAUUAUUUGGCCUAAAGCGUUCGUAGCCGGCUUAUCAAGUCUUUUGUUAAAUCCAACGAUUCAAUCGUUGGGCCGCAAAAGAUACUGUUAUGCUAGAGGACGGGAGAGGUCGACGGUAGUCCAGGGGUAGGGGUGAAAUCCUAUAAUCCUUGGAGGACCACCAGUGGCGAAGGCGGUCGACUAGAACGUGCCUGACGGUGAGGGACGAAAGCUGGGGGAGCGAACCGGAUUAGAUACCCGGGUAGUCCCAGCUGUAAACGAUGCGGGCUAGGUGUUGGGGCAGCCACGAGCUGCUCCAGUGCCGCAGAGAAGUUGUUAAGCCCGCCGCCUGGGGAGUACGGCCGCAAGGCUGAAACUUAAAGGAAUUGGCGGGGGAGCACCACAAGGGGUGAAGGCUGCGGUUU
This 915-nucleotide ribosomal RNA is filed under the name uncultured archaeon. RNAcentral's name for it is "bacterial SSU rRNA". It matches the Rfam family "Archaeal small subunit ribosomal RNA", at positions 9 to 903 of the family's 1478-position model. The record is from RNAcentral.